This 449-nucleotide ribosomal RNA is filed under the name uncultured bacterium. RNAcentral's name for it is "partial 16S ribosomal RNA". It matches the Rfam family "Bacterial small subunit ribosomal RNA", at positions 29 to 523 of the family's 1533-position model. The record is from RNAcentral.
AAUGAACGCUGGCGGCAUGCCUAACACAUGCAAGUCGAACGAGAUCUUCGGGUCUAGUGGCGCACGGGUGCGUAACGCGUGGGAAUCUGCCCUUUGGUUCGGAAUAACAGUUGGAAACGACUGCUAAUACCGGAUGAUGACGAAAGUCCAAAGAUUUAUCGCCAGAGGAUGAGCCCGCGUAGGAUUAGCUAGUUGGUGUGAUAAAGGCAGACCAAGGCGACGAUCCUUAGCUGGUCUGAGAGGAUGAACAGCCACACUGGGACUGAGACACGGCCCAGACUCCUACGGGAGGCAGCAGUGGGGAAUAUUGGACAAUGGGCGAAAGCCUGAUCCAGCAAUGCCGCGUGAGUGAUGAAGGCCUUAGGGUUGUAAAGCUCUUUUACCCGGGAUGAUAAUGACAGUACCGGGAGAAUAAGCUCCGGCUAACUCCGUGCCAGCCGCCGCCGUAA